UUAACACAUGCAAGUCGAACGGUAAGGCCUUCGGGUACACGAGUGGCGAACGGGUGAGUAACACGUGGGUGAUCUGCCCUGCACUUUGGGAUAAGCCUGGGAAACUGGGUCUAAUACCGAAUAUGAUCAUGGCCUUCAUGGGUUGUGGUGGAAAGCUUUUGCGGUGUGGGAUGGGCCCGCGGCCUAUCAGCUUGUUGGUGGGGUAAUGGCCUACCAAGGCGACGACGGAUAGCCGGCCUGAGAGGGUGACCGGCCACACUGGGACUGAGAUACGGCCCAGACUCCUACGGGAGGCAGCAGUGGGGAAUAUUGCACAAUGGGCGCAAGCCUGAUGCAGCGACGCCGCGUGAGGGAUGACGGCCUUCGGGUUGUAAACCUCUUUCAGUAGGGACGAAGCGCAAGUGACGGUACCUAUAGAAGAAGGACCGGCCAACUACGUGCCAGCAGCCGCGGUAAUACGUAGGGUCCGAGCGUUGUCCGGAAUUACUGGGCGUAAAGAGCUCGUAGGUGGUUUGUCGCGUUGUUCGUGAAAACUCACAGCUCAACUGUGGGCGUGCGGGCGAUACGGGCAGACUGGAGUACUGCAGGGGAGACUGGAAUUCCUGGU
This 607-nucleotide ribosomal RNA is filed under the name actinobacterium KV-564. RNAcentral describes it as "bacterial SSU rRNA". It matches the Rfam family "Bacterial small subunit ribosomal RNA", at positions 48 to 674 of the family's 1533-position model. Lineage: Bacteria; Bacillati; Actinomycetota; Actinomycetes. The record is from RNAcentral.